GGGCGAUUAGCUCAGUUGGUUAGAGCGCAGCGUUGACAUCGCUGAGGUCGCAGGUUCAAAUCCUGCAUCGCCCACCA
Molecule: transfer RNA, 77 nt
Filed under: Chloroflexota bacterium
Lineage: Bacteria; Bacillati; Chloroflexota
Also listed under: 1 other name
Description: Chloroflexi bacterium tRNA-Val
Rfam family: tRNA
About the family: Transfer RNA (tRNA) molecules are approximately 80 nucleotides in length. Their secondary structure includes four short double-helical elements and three loops (D, anti-codon, and T loops).
Source: RNAcentral